CCAAUAGCGUAUAUUAAAGUUGUUGCAGUUAAAAAGCUCGUAGUUGAAUUUCGGAGUUUAUCGGUUGGUCGGGCUUCAUUGUCCGCACUGGCCUGAUGGAUUCCUACCUUCUGAAUAACCAGCAUGCUAUUAAUUUAGUGCGUUGGGGAAGCAGAGCUAUUACCUUGAAAAAAUUAGAGUGCUUAAAGCAGGCUUAUGCUUGAAUAGAUUAGCAUGGAAUAAUAAAAUAGGACGGCUUGGUUCUAUUUUGUUGGUUUCUAGGAUCACCGUAAUGAUUAAUAGGGAUAGUUGGGGGCAUUAGUAUUCAAUUGUCAGAGGUGAAAUUCUUGGAUUUAUUGAAGACUAACUUCUGCGAAAGCAUUUGCCAAGGAUGUUUUCAUUAAUCAAGAACGAAAGUUAGGGGAUCGAAGACGAUCAGAUACCGUCGUAGUCUUAACCAUAAACUAUGCCGACUAGGGAUCGGACGAUGUUAAUUUUUUAAUGACUCGUUCGGCGCCUUACG
RNAcentral lists this unclassified non-coding RNA (502 nucleotides) under uncultured Acaulospora. Its description in RNAcentral is "SSU rRNA". It matches the Rfam family "Eukaryotic small subunit ribosomal RNA", at positions 591 to 1092 of the family's 1831-position model. The record is from RNAcentral. Lineage: Eukaryota; Fungi; Glomeromycota; Glomeromycetes; Diversisporales; Acaulosporaceae.